GACGAACGCUGGCGGCGUGCUUAACACAUGCAAGUCGAACGGAAAGGCCCUGCUUUUGUGGGGUGCUCGAGUGGCGAACGGGUGAGUAACACGUGAGUAACCUGCCCUUGACUUUGGGAUAACUUCAGGAAACUGGGGCUAAUACCGGAUAGGAGCUCCUGCUGCAUGGUGGGGGUUGGAAAGUUUCGGCGGUUGGGGAUGGACUCGCGGCUUAUCAGCUUGUUGGUGGGGUAGUGGCUUACCAAGGCUUUGACGGGUAGCCGGCCUGAGAGGGUGACCGGCCACAUUGGGACUGGGAUACGGCCCAGACUCCUACGGGGGGCAGCAGUGGGGAAUAUUGCACAAUGGGCGGAAGCCUGAUGCAGCAACGCCGCGUGCGGGAUGACGGCCUUCGGGUUGUAAACCGCUUUCGCCUGGGACGAAGCGUGAGUGACGGUAAUGGGUAAAGAAGCACCGGCUAACUACGUG
This 468-nucleotide ribosomal RNA is filed under the name uncultured bacterium. Its description in RNAcentral is "partial 16S ribosomal RNA". It matches the Rfam family "Bacterial small subunit ribosomal RNA", at positions 28 to 507 of the family's 1533-position model. The record is from RNAcentral.